This 426-nucleotide ribosomal RNA is filed under the name Pholcus ornatus. RNAcentral's name for it is "partial 16S ribosomal RNA". It matches the Rfam family "Archaeal large subunit ribosomal RNA", at positions 1925 to 2666 of the family's 2987-position model. The record is from RNAcentral. Lineage: Eukaryota; Metazoa; Arthropoda; Arachnida; Araneae; Pholcidae.
UUAAGAAUUUUAACUUAAAGUAAGACCUGCUCAAUGAUAUUUAAAUAGCCGCAGUUCAACUGUGCUAAGGUAGCAUAAUAACUUGCUUCUUAAUUAGAAGAUAGAAUGAAAGGUUACACACUAAAAUUAUGUUUCUUUUAUACUAAAUUAAAUUAAAACAAAAGUCAAAAUCCUUUUAAAUAUAUAGCGGGACGACAAGACCCUAACAAACUUAUUAUUUAGUUGGGGAAACAAAUUAAAAAAACUUUAACUCAAUAAAUUACACAACUUUAAGAUUAAAUAAAGUCUAGUUACUGUAGGGAUAACAGCGUUAUUUCUUUUAAGAGACCCUAUCUAAAAAGAAGAUUACGACCUCGAUGUUGAAUUAAUCAACCUAUAAUACGCAACAGUUUAUAAUAAGGUAGUCUGUUCGACUAUUAAAUGAUU